AUAUUCCUUCGGGGUCGGGUGAAAUUCCCAACCGGCGGUGAUGAAGCAUUUGCUUCUUAGUCCGUGACCCGGUUAACAUUUAUUAAACGGUGGAUCUGGUGAAACUCCAGAGCCGACAGUUACAGUCUGGAUGGGAGAAGGGAAAA
This 146-nucleotide non-coding RNA is filed under the name Mesobacillus subterraneus. Its description in RNAcentral is "Bacillus subterraneus FMN sequence". It matches the Rfam family "FMN riboswitch aptamer (RFN element)". From Rfam's summary of the family: The RFN element is a highly conserved domain that is found frequently in the 5'-untranslated regions of prokaryotic mRNAs that encode for flavin mononucleotide (FMN) biosynthesis and transport proteins. This element is a metabolite-dependent riboswitch that directly binds FMN in the absence of proteins. The record is from Rfam by way of RNAcentral. Lineage: Bacteria; Bacillati; Bacillota; Bacilli; Caryophanales; Bacillaceae.